CGGUGAAUACGUUCCCAGACCUUGUACACACCGCCCGUCAAGCCAUGGAAGCUGGGUGUACCUAAAGUCGGUAACCGCAAGGAGCCGCCUAGGGUAAAACUAGUAACUGGGGCU
Molecule: ribosomal RNA, 114 nt
Filed under: uncultured bacterium
Lineage: Bacteria
Description: partial 16S ribosomal RNA
Rfam family: Bacterial small subunit ribosomal RNA
Source: RNAcentral